This 254-nucleotide ribosomal RNA is filed under the name Acidimicrobiaceae bacterium. RNAcentral's name for it is "partial 16S ribosomal RNA". It matches the Rfam family "Bacterial small subunit ribosomal RNA", at positions 524 to 776 of the family's 1533-position model. The record is from RNAcentral. Lineage: Bacteria; Bacillati; Actinomycetota; Acidimicrobiia; Acidimicrobiales; Acidimicrobiaceae. RNAcentral also lists the same sequence under 1 other name.
UACGUAGGGGGCGAGCGUUGUCCGGAUUUAUUGGGCGUAAAGAGCUCGUAGGCGGUUCGGCAAGUCGGAUGUGAAAUCUCCACGCUCAACGUGGAGGGGCCAUCCGAUACUGCCGUGACUCGAGUCCGGUAGGGGAGUGUGGAAUUCCCGGUGUAGCGGUGAAAUGCGCAGAGAUCGGGAGGAACACCCGUAGCGAAGGCGGCACUCUGGGCCGGUACUGACGCUGAGGAGCGAAAGCGUGGGGAGCGAACAGG